Molecule: transfer RNA, 69 nt
Filed under: Rattus norvegicus (Norway rat)
Lineage: Eukaryota; Metazoa; Chordata; Mammalia; Rodentia; Muridae
Rfam family: tRNA
About the family: Transfer RNA (tRNA) molecules are approximately 80 nucleotides in length. Their secondary structure includes four short double-helical elements and three loops (D, anti-codon, and T loops). Further hydrogen bonds mediate the characteristic L-shaped molecular structure. tRNAs have two regions of fundamental functional importance: the anti-codon, which is responsible for specific mRNA codon recognition, and the 3' end, to which the tRNAs corresponding amino acid is attached (by aminoacyl-tRNA synthetases). tRNAs cope with the degeneracy of the genetic code in two manners: having more than one tRNA (with a specific anti-codon) for a particular amino acid; and 'wobble' base-pairing, i.e. permitting non-standard base-pairing at the 3rd anti-codon position.
Source: Rfam by way of RNAcentral
GGAGAUUUAGCUCAGUGGUAGAGCGCUUGCCUAGUAAGCGCAAGGCCCUGGGUUCAGUCCCCAGCUCCG